RNAcentral lists this ribosomal RNA (440 nucleotides) under uncultured bacterium. RNAcentral describes it as "partial 16S ribosomal RNA". It matches the Rfam family "Bacterial small subunit ribosomal RNA", at positions 338 to 795 of the family's 1533-position model. The record is from RNAcentral.
CCUACGGGAGGCAGCAGUGGGGAAUAUUGCACAAUGGGGGAAACCCUGAUGCCGCGACGCCGCGUGAGUGAAGAAGUAUUUCGGAUUGUAAACUCCUUUUGUUAGAGAAGAUAAUGACGGUAUCUAACGAAUAAGCACCGGCUAACUCCGUGCCAGCAGCCGCGGUAAUACGGAGGGUGCAAGCGUUACUCGGAAUCACUGGGCGUAAAGAGCGCGUAGGCGGGAUAGCAAGUCAGAUGUGAAAUCCUAUGGCUUAACCAUAGAACUGCAUUUGAAACUGUUAUUCUAGAGUAUGGGAGAGGUAGGUGGAAUUCUUGGUGGAGGGGUAAAAUCCGUAGAGAUCAAGAGGAAUACUCAUUGCGAAGGCGACCUGCUAGAACAUAACUGACGCGGAUGCGCGAAAGCGUGGGGAGCAAACAGGAUUAGAUACCCUAGUAGUC